CCACUUACCUUAACCGCGCUAAUAACACCAAAAAUUCGAAACAUAACAAUAAGUACUACAGAUUAUGAACAAACUUGAAGGGGAAAACGAAAAGAGAAAAAAAAAACAAGUUGUAGAGAAGAAAGGAAAAAAAGGUCAAGAAGAUAGGAAAUUUUUUUGGGAAAAGAAAAGAAAAUAAAAUACAACAAUAAAAUCAAUUUACCCAAACUCCCCACUCCAUCCACUAACUACCCAAUCCCACUAAAUCCGACCACUAACCACAUCCAACUACCUCAGAAUCCCAACUCUAC
This 290-nucleotide long non-coding RNA is filed under the name Gossypium raimondii (Peruvian cotton). Its description in RNAcentral is "long non-coding RNA (GRAI_LNC002099)". Lineage: Eukaryota; Viridiplantae; Streptophyta; Magnoliopsida; Malvales; Malvaceae. The record is from RNAcentral.